Molecule: ribosomal RNA, 559 nt
Filed under: Brachybacterium sp. Drenje 1.1
Lineage: Bacteria; Bacillati; Actinomycetota; Actinomycetes; Micrococcales; Dermabacteraceae
Description: bacterial SSU rRNA
Rfam family: Bacterial small subunit ribosomal RNA
Source: RNAcentral
CAUACGGGAGGCAGCAGUGGGGAAUAUUGCACAAUGGGCGAAAGCCUGAUGCAGCGACGCCGCGUGGGGGAUGACGGCCUUCGGGUUGUAAACCCCUUUCAGUAGGGAAGAAGCGAGAGUGACGGUACCUGCAGAAGAAGCGCCGGCUAACUACGUGCCAGCAGCCGCGGUAAUACGUAGGGCGCAAGCGUUGUCCGGAAUUAUUGGGCGUAAAGAGCUUGUAGGUGGCUUGUCGCGUCUGCCGUGAAAACCCGAGGCUCAACCUCGGGCGUGCGGUGGGUACGGGCAGGCUAGAGUGUGGUAGGGGAGACUGGAACUCCUGGUGUAGCGGUGAAAUGCGCAGAUAUCAGGAAGAACACCGAUGGCGAAGGCAGGUCUCUGGGCCAUUACUGACACUGAGAAGCGAAAGCAUGGGUAGCGAACAGGAUUAGAUACCCUGGUAGUCCAUGCCGUAAACGUUGGGCACUAGGUGUGGGGGACAUUCCACGUUUUCCGCGCCGUAGCUAACGCAUUAAGUGCCCCGCCUGGGGAGUACGGCCGCAAGGCUAAAACUCAAAGG